UGCCAGCCGCCGCGGUAAUACGAAGGGUGCUAGCGUUGUUCGGAAUUACUGGGCGUAAAGAGCAUGUAGGCGGAUGAAUUAGUCAGAGGUGAAAGCCCCGAGCUCAACUUGGGAACUGCCUUUGAAACUGACGACCUUGAGUACGGGAGAGGAUGGCGGAAUUCCCAGUGUAGAGGUGAAAUUCGUAGAUAUUGGGAAGAACACCGGUUGCGAAGGCGGCCAUCUGGCCCGUUACUGACGCUGAGGCGCGAAAGCGUGGGGAGCAAACAGGAUUAGAUA
Molecule: ribosomal RNA, 279 nt
Filed under: uncultured bacterium
Lineage: Bacteria
Description: partial 16S ribosomal RNA
Rfam family: Bacterial small subunit ribosomal RNA
Source: RNAcentral